UCUAGAGUUUUGGGCAGGCUCAGAUUGAACGCUGGCGGCAGGCUUAACACAUGCAAGUCGAGCGGAGAGAGGUAGCUUGCUACUGAUCUUAGCGGCGGACGGGUGAGUAAUGCUUAGGAAUCUGCCUAUUAGUGGGGGACAACAUUUCGAAAGGAAUGCUAAUACCGCAUACGUCCUACGGGAGAAAGCAGGGGAUCUUCGGACCUUGCGCUAAUAGAUGAGCCUAAGUCGGAUUAGCUAGUUGGUGGGGUAAAGGCCUACCAAGGCGACGAUCUGUAGCGGGUCUGAGAGGAUGAUCCGCCACACUGGGACUGAGACACGGCCCAGACUCCUACGGGAGGCAGCAGUGGGGAAUAUUGGACAAUGGGCGCAAGCCUGAUCCAGCCAUGCCGCGUGUGUGAAGAAGGCCUUAUGGUUGUAAAGCACUUUAAGCGAGGAGGAGGCUACUUUAGUUAAUACCUAGAGAUAGUGGACGUUACUCGCAGAAUAAGCACCGGCUAACUCUGUGCCAGCAGCCGCGGUAAUACAGAGGGUGCAAGCGUUAAUCGGAUUUACUGGGCGUAAAGCGCGCGUAGGCGGCUAAUUAAGUCAAAUGUGAAAUCCCCGAGCUUAACUUGGGAAUUGCAUUCGAUACUGGUUAGCUAGAGUGAGGGGG
This 655-nucleotide ribosomal RNA is filed under the name Acinetobacter pittii. RNAcentral describes it as "bacterial SSU rRNA". It matches the Rfam family "Bacterial small subunit ribosomal RNA", at positions 1 to 654 of the family's 1533-position model. The record is from RNAcentral. Lineage: Bacteria; Pseudomonadati; Pseudomonadota; Gammaproteobacteria; Moraxellales; Moraxellaceae.